This 279-nucleotide ribosomal RNA is filed under the name uncultured bacterium. RNAcentral's name for it is "partial 16S ribosomal RNA". It matches the Rfam family "Bacterial small subunit ribosomal RNA", at positions 506 to 784 of the family's 1533-position model. The record is from RNAcentral.
UGCCAGCCGCCGCGGUAAUACGGAGGGUGCAAGCGUUGUUCGGAAUUACUGGGCGUAAAGCGCGCGUAGGCGGCUAUUUAAGUCAGAUGUGAAAGUCCACGGCUCAACCGUGGAAGUGCAUUUGAAACUGGAUAGCUUGAGUACUGGAGGGGGUGGUGGAAUUCCCGGUGUAGAGGUGAAAUUCGUAGAUAUCUGAAGGAACAUCAGUGGCGAAGGCGACUACCUGGCCAGAUACUGACGCUGAGGUGCGAAAGCGUGGGGAGCAAACAGGAUUAGAUA